Molecule: ribosomal RNA, 503 nt
Filed under: uncultured Alphaproteobacteria bacterium
Lineage: Bacteria; Pseudomonadati; Pseudomonadota; Alphaproteobacteria
Description: bacterial SSU rRNA
Rfam family: Bacterial small subunit ribosomal RNA
Source: RNAcentral
GAGAUGGGUACCUUCCCGCAAGGGACCGGGAUACAGGUGCUGCAUGGCUGUCGUCAGCUCGUGUCGUGAGAUGUUGGGUUAAGUCCCGCAACGAGCGCAACCCUCAUCUUCAGUUGCCAUCAGGUUAAGCUGGGCACUCUGAAGAAACUGCCGGUGACAAGCCGGAGGAAGGCGGGGAUGACGUCAAGUCCUCAUGGCCUUUAUGGGCUGGGCUACACACGUGCUACAAUGGCGGUGACAAUGGGACGCGAAGGGGCAACCCUUGGCCAAUCUCAAAAAGCCGUCUCAGUUCGGAUUGUCCUCUGCAACUCGAGGGCAUGAAGCUGGAAUCGCUAGUAAUCGCGGAUCAGCACGCCGCGGUGAAUACGUUCCCGGGCCUUGUACACACCGCCCGUCACACCAUGGGAGUUGGUUUUACCCGAAGGCGACGCGCCAACCGCAAGGAGGCAGUCGACCACGGUAAGGUCAGCGACUGGGGUGAAGUCGUAACAAGGUAACCGUAA